AGUGAACGCUGGCGGUAGGCCUAACACAUGCAAGUCGAACGGCAGCACAGUAAGAGCUUGCUCUUACGGGUGGCGAGUGGCGGACGGGUGAGGAAUACAUCGGAAUCUACUUUUUCGUGGGGGGUAACGUAGGGAAACUUACGCUAAUACCGCAUACGACCUACGGGUGAAAGCAGGGGAUCUUCGGACCUUGCGCGAUUGAAUGAGCCGAUGUCGGAUUAGCUAGUUGGCGGGGUAAAGGCCCACCAAGGCGACGAUCCGUAGCUGGUCUGAGAGGAUGAUCAGCCACACUGGAACUGAGACACGGUCCAGACUCCUACGGGAGGCAGCAGUGGGGAAUAUUGGACAAUGGGCGCAAGCCUGAUCCAGCCAUACCGCGUGGGUGAAGAAGGCCUUCGGGUUGUAAAGCCCUUUUGUCGGGAAAGAAAAGCAGCAGGUUAAUACCCCGCUGUUCUGACGGUACCCAAAGAAUAAGCACCGGCUAACUUCGUG
Molecule: ribosomal RNA, 492 nt
Filed under: uncultured bacterium
Lineage: Bacteria
Description: partial 16S ribosomal RNA
Rfam family: Bacterial small subunit ribosomal RNA
Source: RNAcentral